RNAcentral lists this ribosomal RNA (112 nucleotides) under uncultured Ruminococcus sp. Lineage: Bacteria; Bacillati; Bacillota; Clostridia; Eubacteriales; Oscillospiraceae. The record is from RNAcentral.
CGGUGACGAUAGCGAUGAGGUCCCACCUGUUCCCAUGCCGAACACAGAAGUUAAGCUCAUCUACGCCGACGAUACUUGGCUGGCAACGGCCUGGUAAAAUAGGUAGUCGCCG